This 448-nucleotide long non-coding RNA is filed under the name Nicotiana tabacum (common tobacco). RNAcentral's name for it is "long non-coding RNA (NTAB_LNC011157)". Lineage: Eukaryota; Viridiplantae; Streptophyta; Magnoliopsida; Solanales; Solanaceae. The record is from RNAcentral.
ACAAAGGCAGCAAGAUGCAACGCCAGGGAAGUCACCAAAAACCGGGGCAGAAAAUUUUCUGCCAAUUGUCGAAAAUUUUCUCGGAAGAACGGGGGAACAAUCGCAAAUACAUUUAAGUUCUGGGUCGCCCACCAGUAUAAUGCGGGAAUACUUUUAAGUUCUAGGUCGCCCACCAGUAUAAUGCGGGAAUACUUUUAAGUUCUAGGUCGCCCACCAGUAUAAUGCGGGAAUACUUUUAAGUUCUAGGUCGCCCACCAGUAUAAUGCGGGAAUACAUUUUAAGUUCUAGGUCGCCCACCAGUAUAAUGCGGGAAUACUUUUCAGUUCUAGGUCGCCCACCAGUAUAAUGCGGGAAUACUUUUAAGUUCUAGGUCGCCCACCAGUAUAAUGCGGGAAUACAUUUUAAGUUCUAGGUCGCCCACCAGUAUAAUGCGGGAAUACUUUUCAGU